CGGGCUAUAGUGUAGCGGUAACACACACCCUUGGGGUGGGCGUAACGAUGGGUUCGACUCCCAUUAGCCCGA
Molecule: transfer RNA, 72 nt
Filed under: bacterium
Lineage: Bacteria
Description: tRNA-Pro
Rfam family: tRNA
About the family: Transfer RNA (tRNA) molecules are approximately 80 nucleotides in length.
Source: RNAcentral